UCCCUGGUAGUAUAUCGGAUAGUACAUGCGCCUGUCACGCGCAAGAGCCGGGUUCGACUCCCGGCUGGGGAG
Molecule: transfer RNA, 72 nt
Rfam family: tRNA
About the family: Transfer RNA (tRNA) molecules are approximately 80 nucleotides in length.
Source: Rfam